AUGCAGAACAGAUCGCAGCUGCAAACACGCGUCCUCUUCUAAAGCAAAAAAACCACUCUCUCCAACUCUGUAUUCAGCGGAACUCUAACCCCUCCCACCCUUCGCCCCAACACCCAGGAAAAAAAAGAACCUGGGCUCCUAAAUACUGUGGAAGCCAUUGAUAAGAGUUCCCAAAAGAAAAAAAACCUAGAUAAUUCUCCCCGUUUUUUGAAUUUUCAGGCGAGGACAAUGUCGAGGGUUUACGUAGGGAAUUUGGAUCCUCGAAUUACCGAAAGAGACCUUGAGGAUGAGUUUCGUAUCUACGGAGUUCUCAAGAGUGUUUGGGUUGCAAGACGACCUCCAGGUUAUGCAUUCAUUGAGUUCGAUGAUCGUAGGGAUGCUCUAGAUGCUGUUCGCGAUCUAGAUGGGAAAAAUGGUUGGCGUGUGGAGCUCUCACACAAUUCAAGUGGUCGUGGUGGAGGCCGUGGUGGUCGUGGUCUUGGCGGUGAUGAUAGGAAAUGUUAUGAAUGUGGUGAGCCUGGUCAUUUUGCUCGAGAGUGCCGCUUGCGCAUUGGUCCACGUGGACUUGGAAGUGGGCGACGUCGAAGUCCCAGUCCUCAGUAUCAUAGCAGUCCCAGUUAUGGGAGGAGGAGUUACAACCCUCGUGGAAAAUCUCCCCGAGGUUGCAGCCUAUCUCCUUGUCGUGGACGCAUCUUCAGCAGGUCACCUCCUUACCACCGGGGGCGCUAUGAGUCACCUUAUGCUAAAGGUUUAUCACCUCGCCGUGGUCGUGGUAGCUACAGCAGGUCCCCAGCAUAUCGUCGUCAUGAUUCUCCUUAUACAAAUGGAGCUUGAUACUGGUCUGAGCAGGAAAUACAAUUGAGGAUCUUCAUUUGUAGUCUGAUAGGGUUGAAAAAGAGUAGCAUUAUGUAGUUUGUUUCCGUGAUAAUUGGUGUGUUGAACUGGAUUAUGGGAGGCUUCUGCUCUCUUUAGCCAACUCCAGACUUCGUUUUUGUAUGGCUCACUCAGUUCAGCAACUUUGGAGGUUUUCUUCUUCUGAGGUAUGAUUUUCGGCUGAGACUGCAUCAUUGCUCUCCAUGCUUCGUUAGUUGACCUCAAUUAGCUCCACCACUUCUCUACAUCAAAUUGUCAUCUUACAAGUUUGAUUUCCUAUUGAGAACUGCAAAAUCGCCAAGUGCCUCCUACUGCAAUGAAGCUUAGGUAGUGUUUAUUUCCUUCUCUGCGUACCAGUGCACAAUGAAGCUGUUUUGCCGUCUUGCCCUCAAUCUUCGUUUGGCAGCUUAAACUGCUCCGUUCUGCAGAGUCUUUGUACAUCCGUUUCAUUUUCUUCUCUGCCUAGCUCUUUUUGGCACGUCAAUUUUCGGGUACACAUUUCGUGAGGAAAUUCCUUGCUUUCAUUGAUGGAUCUUCCGUAUGGUUGCUCACAGAAGUAAUCCAUGUUCUGCAUUAUACCUCCUGUGUUUGUAGCAGUAGAUAUUGUUUUGUUGAAACGUGGCUGCGAGGAUUGUAAAUGUAUCUUUGAUUUUGUCAUGUAAUUAACUUGGCCUUAAACUUGUGAUGGAUCAGUAUAAAUUUGAUGUUGUUGCCUACUUAUAAA
This is an RNA transcript of Capsicum annuum, 1597 nucleotides long. It is a transcript of the gene named serine/arginine-rich splicing factor RSZ21A, with no coding region annotated. The record is from RefSeq and is a predicted model, not a curated record. NCBI's taxonomy places the organism in Eukaryota, Viridiplantae, Streptophyta, Magnoliopsida, Solanales, Solanaceae. The transcript is spliced from 8 exons.